RNAcentral lists this ribosomal RNA (452 nucleotides) under uncultured bacterium. RNAcentral's name for it is "partial 16S ribosomal RNA". It matches the Rfam family "Bacterial small subunit ribosomal RNA", at positions 28 to 507 of the family's 1533-position model. The record is from RNAcentral.
GAUGAACGCUGGCGGCGUGCCUAACACAUGCAAGUCGAGCGAUUUACUUCGGUAAAGAGCGGCGGACGGGUGAGUAACGCGUGGGUAACCUGCCCUGUACACACGGAUAACAUACCGAAAGGUAUGCUAAUACGAGAUAAUAUGCUUUUAUCGCAUGGUAGAAGUAUCAAAGCUUUUGCGGUACAGGAUGGACCCGCGUCUGAUUAGCUAGUUGGUGAGGUAACGGCUCACCAAGGCGACGAUCAGUAGCCGACCUGAGAGGGUGAUCGGCCACAUUGGAACUGAGACACGGUCCAAACUCCUACGGGAGGCAGCAGUGGGGAAUAUUGCACAAUGGGCGAAAGCCUGAUGCAGCAACGCCGCGUGAGCGAUGAAGGCCUUCGGGUCGUAAAGCUCUGUCCUCAAGGAAGAUAAUGACGGUACUUUAGGAGGAAGCCCCGGCUAACUACGUG